GACGAACGCUGGCGGCGUGCCUAAUACAUGCAAGUAGAACGCUGAAGCGAGGAGCUUGCUCUUCUUGGAUGAGUUGCGAACGGGUGAGUAACGCGUAGGUAACCUGCCUUGUAGCGGGGGAUAACUAUUGGAAACGAUAGCUAAUACCGCAUAACAAUGGAUGACACAUGUCAUUUAUUUGAAAGGGGCAAUUGCUCCACUACAAGAUGGACCUGCGUUGUAUUAGCUAGUAGGUGAGGUAAUGGCUCACCUAGGCGACGAUACAUAGCCGACCUGAGAGGGGGGUCGGCCACACUGGGACUGAGACACGGCCCAGACUCCUACGGGAGGCAGCAGGAGGGAAUCUUCGGCAAUGGGGGCAACCCUGACCGAGCAACGCCGCGGGAGUGAAGAAGGGUUUCGGAUCGGAAAGCUCUGUUGUAAGUCAAGAACGGGUGUGAGAGUGGAAAGUUCACACUGUGACGGUAGCUUACCAGAAAGGGACGGCUAACUACGUG
This 497-nucleotide ribosomal RNA is filed under the name uncultured bacterium. RNAcentral describes it as "partial 16S ribosomal RNA". It matches the Rfam family "Bacterial small subunit ribosomal RNA", at positions 28 to 507 of the family's 1533-position model. The record is from RNAcentral.